This 486-nucleotide ribosomal RNA is filed under the name uncultured bacterium. RNAcentral describes it as "bacterial SSU rRNA". It matches the Rfam family "Bacterial small subunit ribosomal RNA", at positions 28 to 524 of the family's 1533-position model. The record is from RNAcentral.
GACGAACGCUGGCGGCGUGCUUAACACAUGCAAGUCGAACGGUGAUCUUGAGAGCUUGCUCUUGGGUGAUCAGUGGCGAACGGGUGAGUAACACGUGAGUAACCUGCCCCUGACUCUGGAAUAACUUCGGGAAACCGAAGCUAAUACCGGAUAUGACACAGAGCCGCAUGGUUUCUGUGUGGAAAGUUUUUCGGUUGGGGAUGGACUCGCGGCCUAUCAGCUUGUUGGUGAGGUAAUGGCUCACCAAGGCGACGACGGGUAGCCGGCCUGAGAGGGCGACCGGCCACACUGGGACUGAGACACGGCCCAGACUCCUACGGGAGGCAGCAGUGGGGAAUAUUGCACAAUGGGCGAAAGCCUGAUGCAGCGACGCCGCGUGAGGGAUGAAGGCCUUCGGGUUGUAACCUCUUUCAGUAGGGAAGAAGCGCAAGUGACGGUACCUACAGAAGAAGCACCGGCUAACUACGUGCCAGCAGCCGCGGUAAU